Molecule: ribosomal RNA, 451 nt
Filed under: uncultured bacterium
Lineage: Bacteria
Description: partial 16S ribosomal RNA
Rfam family: Bacterial small subunit ribosomal RNA
Source: RNAcentral
GUGGGGUAUAUUGGACAAUGGGGGGAACCCUGAUCCAGCCAUGCAGCGUGUGUGAAGAAGGCCUUUUGGUUGUAAAGCACUUUAAGCGAGGAGGAGGCUACCGAGAUUAAUACUCUUGGAUAGUGGACGUUACUCGCAGAAUAAGCACCGGCUAACUCUGUGCCAGCAGCCGCGGUAAUACAGAGGGUGCAAGCGUUAAUCGGAUUUACUGGGCGUAAAGCGCGCGUAGGUGGCCAAUUAAGUCAAAUGUGAAAUCCCCGAGCUUAACUUGGGAAUUGCAUUCGAUACUGGUUGGCUAGAGUAUGGGAGAGGAUGGUAGAAUUCCAGGUGUAGCGGUGAAAUGCGUAGAGAUCUGGAGGAAUACCGAUGGCGAAGGCAGCCAUCUGGCCUAAUACUGACACUGAGGUGCGAAAGCAUGGGGAGCAAACAGGAUUAGAUACCCCAGUAGUCC